UACGUAGGGUGCAGGCGUUAAUCGGAAUUACUGGGCGUAAAGCGUGCGCAGGCGGCUUCUUAAGUCAGAUGUGAAAUCCCCGGGCUUAACCUGGGAACUGCGUUUGAAACUGGGAGGCUAGAGUGCGGCAGAGGGGGGUGGAAUUCCACGUGUAGCAGUGAAAUGCGUAGAUAUGUGGAGGAACACCGAUGGCGAAGGCAGCCCCCUGGGCCUGCACUGACGCUCAUGCACGAAAGCGUGGGGAGCAAAC
This 250-nucleotide ribosomal RNA is filed under the name uncultured bacterium. Its description in RNAcentral is "partial 16S ribosomal RNA". It matches the Rfam family "Bacterial small subunit ribosomal RNA", at positions 524 to 773 of the family's 1533-position model. The record is from RNAcentral.